UAGGGAAUCUUCGGCAAUGGGGGCAACCCUGACCGAGCAACGCCGCGUGAGUGAAGAAGGUUUUCGGAUCGUAAAGCUCUGUUGUAAGAGAAGAACGUGUGUGAGAGUGGAAAGUUCACACAGUGACGGUAACUUACCAGAAAGGGACGGCUAACUACGUGCCAGCAGCCGCGGUAAUACGUAGGUCCCGAGCGUUGUCCGGAUUUAUUGGGCGUAAAGCGAGCGCAGGCGGUUUAAUAAGUCUGAAGUUAAAGGCAGUGGCUUAACCAUUGUUCGCUUUGGAAACUGUUAAACUUGAGUGCAGAAGGGGAGAGUGGAAUUCCAUGUGUAGCGGUGAAAUGCGUGGAUAUAUGGAGGAACACCGGUGGCGAAAGCGGCUCUCUGGUCUGUAACUGACGCUGAGGCUCGAAAGCGUGGGGAGCAAACAGG
This 429-nucleotide ribosomal RNA is filed under the name bacterium. RNAcentral's name for it is "partial 16S ribosomal RNA". It matches the Rfam family "Bacterial small subunit ribosomal RNA", at positions 355 to 776 of the family's 1533-position model. The record is from RNAcentral.